CUCCUCUCUGCUGCCGCUGCCGUGCACGAGUGUAAACUGGACGCACAGGGCCUCUCAGUCCCCUCUCUGUUCCGCCCGCAUCAGCUCAGAGCAUCAUUCAAGAGAAGAACAACUACUGGAGACACCAAGAAACACGGACAGUAUAGUGUUUGUAACCUGCUGGGGUCCUUGCAGAUAAGGCUGGCAUACUUCUCUUUCACAUUGAACUUUGCUCCUGUUGGUGGAGCUAACUAAGGCAUCCAAUAGGCUUGCUGGAGAUAUUGACAGUCAGCUAGUCUUUACGGAUCUCCUGCCAUAUCAAGUAAUGGCUAGACUACUGGAGUAUUGGCCUGGCGACAAGUGGAAAUGGAGAAAUGGACUCUUUUAUUUUUAUUUUUUUUUAUUUUUGUCUCAAAUAGUGUUAAAUUUUAAAAGGUUUUUGUAUUUCCACUACACGAAUACUUCACAAAUUGGUGGAUUCAAGCGAAUUUCAUGGACACUGAAAAACUGUUUGUGUUAUGCAUAUUAAUUGACUUAAUUGUUUUAAAUGGUUUUAAUUAAUACCAAUUCUGACUUACCCACAAUGCAUCACAGUAGGUGAAAGGUCACAAA
Molecule: long non-coding RNA, 591 nt
Organism: Xenopus laevis (African clawed frog)
Lineage: Eukaryota; Metazoa; Chordata; Amphibia; Anura; Pipidae
Exons: 4
Source: RefSeq, a predicted model, not a curated record